UGGGGAAUAUUGCACAAUGGGGGAAACCCUGAUGCAGCAACGCCGCGUGGAGGAUGACGCAUUUCGGUGUGUAAACUCCUUUUAUAAGGGAAGAUAAUGACGGUACCUUAUGAAUAAGCACCGGCUAACUCCGUGCCAGCAGCCGCGGUAAUACGGAGGGUGCAAGCGUUACUCGGAAUCACUGGGCGUAAAGGGUGCGUAGGCGGGUUAUCAAGUCUCGAGUGAAAUCCAACGGCUUAACCGUUGAACU
This 250-nucleotide ribosomal RNA is filed under the name uncultured bacterium. Its description in RNAcentral is "partial 16S ribosomal RNA". It matches the Rfam family "Bacterial small subunit ribosomal RNA", at positions 355 to 622 of the family's 1533-position model. The record is from RNAcentral.